AGGCAGCAGUGGGGAAUUUUGGACAAUGGGGGAAACCCUGAUCCAGCCAUGCCGCGUGAGUGAAGAAGGCCUUCGGGUUGUAAAGCUCUUUCAGCCGGAAAGAAAUCGCACUGGUUAAUACCUUGUGUGGAUGACGGUACCGGAAGAAGAAGCACCGGCUAACUACGUGCCAGCAGCCGCGGUAAUACGUAGGGUGCGAGCGUUAAUCGGAAUUACUGGGCGUAAAGCGUGCGCAGGCGGUUUUGUAAGACAGAUGUGAAAUCCCCGGGCUUAACCUGGGAACUGCAUUUGUGACUGCAAGGCUAGAGUACGGCAGAGGGGGGUAGAAUUCCACGUGUAGCAGUGAAAUGCGUAGAUAUGUGGAGGAAUACCGAUGGCGAAGGCAGCCCCCUGGGUCGAUACUGACGCUCAUGCACGAAAGCGUGGGGAGCAAACAGGAUUAGAUACCCUGGUAG
Molecule: ribosomal RNA, 455 nt
Filed under: uncultured bacterium
Lineage: Bacteria
Description: bacterial SSU rRNA
Rfam family: Bacterial small subunit ribosomal RNA
Source: RNAcentral